RNAcentral lists this non-coding RNA (33 nucleotides) under Dolichomastix tenuilepis. Lineage: Eukaryota; Viridiplantae; Chlorophyta; Mamiellophyceae; Dolichomastigales; Dolichomastigaceae. The record is from RNAcentral.
CCGUGGGCUGUGCGGCGGGUACAACAACUACGC